GACGAACGCUGGCGGCGUGCCUAACACAUGCAAGUCGAACGAAGCAUAGCAAUAUGCUUAGUGGCGGACGGGUGAGUAACGCGUGAACAAUCUGCCCUGUACAAAGGAAUAGCCUCGGGAAACCGGGAUUAAAACCGUAUGACACUUUAGUAUCGCAUGAUAAGAAAGUCAAAUCGAUUAGAGGUAUGGGAUGAGUUCGCGUCUGAUUAGCUGGUUGGCGGGGUAACGGCCCACCAAGGCGACGAUCAGUAGCCGGCCUGAGAGGGUGAACGGCCACACUGGAACUGAGACACGGUCCAGACUCCUACGGGAGGCAGCAGUGGGGAAUAUUGCACAAUGGAGGGAACUCUGAUGCAGCGACGCCGCGUGAGUGAAGAAGGUCUUCGGAUCGUAAAACUCUGUCCUUGGUGAAGAAAAGGACGGUAAGCCGAAGGAGGAAGCCCCGGGCUAACUACGUGCCAGCAGCCGCGGUAAGACGUAGCGUG
RNAcentral lists this ribosomal RNA (485 nucleotides) under uncultured bacterium. RNAcentral's name for it is "bacterial SSU rRNA". It matches the Rfam family "Bacterial small subunit ribosomal RNA", at positions 28 to 534 of the family's 1533-position model. The record is from RNAcentral.